AUCUACAUAUACACACAGGCAUAUUGACACACACACGUAUCUAUAUACCUAUUCUUUCUUUUACCAUUAUAGACCCAAUGAACAGAACUAAGCCACUGUUGGAAACACAGGAUGAUUCCUUAUCCUUACUGUAAGGAGAAAAUAUAAUGCUUUCUUUGGGCCACUUUAGGAGAUAAGUUCACUGUUUUAGGACAUCAAUUUUACAUUUAUAUUUGGCGGGGCUAAUAUUAUGGAAUAAAGUCUCCCAGAAAUCGAGGAUGACUUUCGAGUCUAUGUUUUAUGAUUCCAUAUGACUGGAAUAAUGGAAGCAACUUUGAAAAUAAUUAAAAGACAUUUGGAUAUUCUGUAGAGUAAGUGAUAGGGAUUACAGGCCUUGGAGUAUAACAGGGUUCUGAUUCUGGCUAGGCUAUUUACUUCCUAUGUGGGCUUGGGAACAUUACCAGACUUCUCUAAGCCUUGAGUUUCAUCUUUUGUAAAAUGAUAAUAUAGUAUUUACUCCAUAUAGUAAUUGUAAGUUUUAAACAAGAUUGUGAACGUGAAGUAUGUAGUAUGCAUUUUAAUAUUUGGUAUGUAGUACCCAUCAAUUUAUUACUGAAACACCAGGGGUUUGGUCUAAGUCCUGCUGCUUUCCACAUAGAAAGACAAUCAUGAGACAAUGAGAAUUCUGUUUAUUUAACUGGGUGCUGCAGCUGAGGAGAUAGGAUAUCAGUCUGAAAUCCAUUUCCCUGAUCUACUAAAACUGGGAGUUUAUAUAGUGAGGAAGGAAUAUAACUACAUGUGGGUAAACAGGAAUUAGAGAGUGCUAAGGGAGAGGAGUUGGUCAACAGGAAGCAGGUGGUUGGAUAGGCAAUCAUGAUGAGUGAGUGGUCUGGUGUCUCAUUGUCCAGAUACUGUGAUCUGAAAACAACAAUAACAACAACAAAAACUCAAGAAACAGGAAUGCAAGAUCUACGUUUUGUUAAACUAAAGACACCUCUUACUCAUAACAAUCAGAUAUGAAAAAGCGCUGCCACGAGGGCAAGAAUGAUGCUAAGAAAGUCUUUUAUGGCUACAAGUCUUGAAUCAAGCUGACCGAGCAGUUCUUACACUGAGAAGCAACAACAACCUUUUGUUUCAAGAAACAGAUUCUUCAUUGUCCAUCUUUUUUAAUGAGGACUUAGAAUGAAUAUUAUUGACAGAUGGAGCAAGUAUCAUCUGCAUAAGUACAAUUUCUUUCUACAGUAAUGAAUUGAGUUAUAAUCUUAGAAAUCUUCAUUCUGAUUAUUGGGAAUGAGAGGGUUGUAUGAAAUUUUCUGUCAGUUUUCUUUAGGAUGUUGAGGCAGUUUACUUUCUUGGUGCAUGCUGUACAUAUACUAUUGUGUCCAGAAUUAAUCUGGGCCUCUGCUUGAUUUUAUCUCCAGCCCCAACAACUUGUUUGGCAAAUCUCAUGUCCACUUGCCACCUUACUGCCCAAGGGCAAAAGCUAUUGGCAGCUAUGCUGAAAUCUGAUACAACUGGUUUGCAGUUCUUUCACUGCAAACCUAAUGACAAAAUCAAAAUCUACUUGUACUUUUAUAUCUUGAUCACUCUGUUCCUAGGGUGAUUAUAAGAUUUUUGUUUAAUAACUCGAUAUUUAGAAAGUCCUUUUGAUCGCUGAGUAGAUUUAAGUUCCUAUAUUUUAAUGGGCUUCUUUUAAUUCUCUUAUGUCUACCUUAUAUUUUCAGAAAUUCUUCCAUGUUAUACUUGCUAAUGACUUGUGUCUCAGCUCUUUAUUAGGGCUAUAAAUAUAUUUGUACUUUUAUUUUCCUUCUGUCAGUCCAAUGAGAUUUUUAAGAAGAAGAAGAGAAAAGUGCCUCUCAGAUUCCUUGAAUUGUAAAUUUUGACCUUCGUUCUUGUUUUAUUAUUUUCUCCCUUAAGUUUGCCUACAUCUGAUCUGUUCCUAGGUUUAACUAUUCUUAACUAGGCUCUAUUUUUUUAAGACAUAUUUCUAUUCAUUAGAUUUUAUGCAAUUAUGCUUUGGACAUUUUUUUCUUACAUAAUUUUCAUAAACUAUAAGGAUACAGUCUAUCUGAGUCAUGCCAUAACAUUGUGUCCAAGUUUUGAAUAACUGUCUUUUUUCCUGGUUGACAAGAUGUUUAUCAUUAAAAGAAAUUUGAUCACAAUUUUAUGAUAUCUAAAUAUACUCAUUUUUUUGAGAACUGAUUUGACUUUCAAAUUGAAGCAGUGUAACAGAACAACAGAGUUGUAGCACUGACCAUACUGGAUUAUAUAAUCAUACCUUUUCUUCUAAAAAUAAUUACCAAAUACAAAAUCUUAUUUAGUUAAUUCUUACACAACAAACAUCUGUAUUUUAAUUCUACACGUUUUUCUCCAUUUUCACACAUCCAAGAUCCAGCCUAGAGGAUGAAAUAUGAUCUACGUUAUUAUUAGGAAAGAAAUCAGAAGUGAAGGUAUGAGUCAAUGUCAUUCCCACAAAAGUCUUCUGAAUUAGGGAUACUUGAGAUGAAACAGGACAAAAUUAAGAACGAGAGUAGCUAAAAUCAAGAAGUAAAGGGUCUGUACAAUAGAAAUCAGCAUCUCAAAUAGGGACCCCAGAAAGCUCAGCAUAGAUAUUAAUAGACAGCAUGUGGACAGUUGGCAAUAGGACAGCCCUUUUCAUUAGGCAUAAAAGACAUAUUGUUCCUUUUAUAAAAAUAAUGGGACAUUAUUGAAACAAAUACACAUAUUAUCUCUGAAUCCCAUAGGAUAAUUGCAUAAAAGGAACCUGGAAAAAUUGCUUAAGUCCCUAGAACUUUAUUGUUUUUUUUU
Sapajus apella (tufted capuchin) is the source of this 2787-nucleotide long non-coding RNA. RefSeq lists it as uncharacterized. The record is from RefSeq and is a predicted model, not a curated record. Lineage: Eukaryota; Metazoa; Chordata; Mammalia; Primates; Cebidae. The transcript has 3 exons.